Molecule: ribosomal RNA, 439 nt
Filed under: uncultured bacterium
Lineage: Bacteria
Description: partial 16S ribosomal RNA
Rfam family: Bacterial small subunit ribosomal RNA
Source: RNAcentral
CUACGGGGGGCUGCAGUGAGGAAUAUUGCACAAUGGGGGGAACCCUGAUGCAGCAACGCCGCGUGGAGGAUGACGCAUUUCGGUGUGUAAACUCCUUUUAUAUGUCAAGAAAAUGACGGUAGCAUAUGAAUAAGCACCGGCUAACUCCGUGCCAGCAGCCGCGGUAAUACGGAGGGUGCAAGCGUUACUCGGAAUCACUGGGCGUAAAGGACGCGUAGGCGGGUUGGAAAGUCAGGUGUGAAAUCCUACAGCUUAACUGUAGAACUGCACUUGAAACUUCUAAGCUAGAGUAUGGGAGGGGGAGAUGGAAUUAGUGGUGUAGGGGUAAAAUCCGUAGAUAUCACUAGGAAUACCUAAAGCGUAGGCGAUCUCCUGGAACAUUACUGACGCUAAGGCGUGAAAGCGUGGGGAGCAAACAGGAUUAGAUACCCCGGUAGUC